RNAcentral lists this unclassified non-coding RNA (293 nucleotides) under uncultured Acidobacteriota bacterium. RNAcentral's name for it is "uncultured Acidobacteria bacterium contains 16S-23S intergenic spacer region". The record is from RNAcentral. Lineage: Bacteria; Pseudomonadati; Acidobacteriota.
GGACUACCAGGGUUUCUAAUCCCGUUUGCUCCCCUGGCUUUCGCGCCUCAGCGUCAAUACCGGUCCAGGAUGCCGCCUUCGCCACCGAUGUUCCUCCAGAUAUCUACGCAUUUCACCGCUACACCUGGAAUUCCACAUCCCUCUCCCGGAUUCAAGCCUUUCAGUCUCGGACGCAGUUCCCGGGUUGAGCCCGGGGAUUUCACGUUCGACUUAGAAGGCCGCCUACGCGCCCUUUACGCCCAGUAAUUCCGAACAACGCUUGCCCCCUCUGUAUUACCGCGGCGGCUGGCACC